GCUUAUGGCCAUACCACCCUGAACGUGUCAAAUCUUGGAAGCUAAGCAGGGUCGGGCCUGGUUGGUACUUGGAUGGGAGAAAGCAAAAAUAUAAAGUUAAAACUAAGAACGGCCGGGAGCAGUGGCUC
RNAcentral lists this ribosomal RNA (128 nucleotides) under Nomascus leucogenys (northern white-cheeked gibbon). Lineage: Eukaryota; Metazoa; Chordata; Mammalia; Primates; Hylobatidae. The record is from RNAcentral.